UUAAAGAACAAGAGCUCAGUCUCUUCACUGGAAGCCGAUUCCUGCAUCAUGGUAGCGGAGCAUGAGUUAGACGUUCAGGAGUCCAAAGGGACUGCUUCUUGAAAGGGAUUGAAACUGCAAUCAUAUAAUUUGUAAAAUAAUUAAUCGAAUAUACAUUGAAUGUGGGUGGGGGGAAUAUUCAAGUACCCCAUCUACUUGUAUACGUGCUGGGCAUAGCAUUGAGAUUAUCUUAACAGUGUAAAAUGAAUCGAAUACUUGCUAUUCACAAUAAUAAAAACAAUUCCGCAAAAUAUCAUAUGGUUUUGUGUUAUUUGCAGUGAGCAGAUUCUGCAUUCAAACAGAAACAGUCACCAACAUUCAGGAACAGAAGCAAUGAGAUUGAUCAUCAAGUGCCCUGUGAUUCAACGGUUAAUGACAGUUAAAAUUUAAGACAUAGACAAGUAAAAAUCAAGGCAUGAUCAGCAAAUGGGCAUUUAACUUUAUUAAGAUAAGCAGUAAAUUCGUGUUGAAUGGCAAACAGCAGGUUCCAUACAAUAUCCCCACUCUCACAAAAUCAAGAAUAUAAAGCAAUCUUUACCGUAGAUUAUAAGAAUUUUCACAAUUACAACGUUCAGUGCUUAAGGAGAGCCAGCACAGUGAAAAUGAGAGCUUUUGUGACAGCUUGCUAGAUGCAAUGGCCACCACAACUCUUGAACGUUAACUUAAACUAAAGCAAGCGAAUCAAUUAACUCUCACGCCUCUUUUUUAUUUUUAUUUUUUUCCAUUUCUCUCAUCUCCCCCCCGUUUCUUUCAACCAAGCAUCCCUUACUUUAUUUAUUUAAAGAAAAAUAAUGGGUUGGCUUUUCAGCAACUAAUUAUAAUGUCGGGUUAGUUGAUUCGUUACAACUGUGAUGACAGAAGGGACAAAGAAUCUAAACAAAAAUUCAUAUAGGAUUUUUUAUUUUAUGUUAAUGGCUGUAAUGAAUAUGAUCCCUUGGGUUGAAUCAAAAUCGUACAUGUCUAAUAUUAUUUUAUAGUUUAUUAAAGAAGGCAAACAAAAAUUUCAAAAAAAUUUAUAUUAUUUUAUAAUUUAUUAAAAAAGUGAGGAGUUGUAUAAAGGUCAGAUUUAUUUUUAGCCCCCCCUUAUCUCUCUUAAAAUUUAAACUUUAGUAACCAAUCAAAUAAAGAUAUUUGAAAACCACUCAAUUACACUUUUAAAGAAAAAAAUUUAUUUGGUUGAUAGCUAGAAAUUAUUUAUAUACCUACAUGCAAAUCUAUACUAAAUCUUGUGUCUAAAGGUCUUGCAAAGCUACAAAAUUAUUGCUCUGUUUUUCUUACUCCGCGUAUACUUCAACUAAUUGCGACAGUAUUCAUGUGCAUAUGACAAAUAUUGAGUGGACAAGAACCAAUAUUUUAGAAAUACCAAAGACUCUCCUCUUAUACACCUCUAAUUCUUAAUUCUUGGCUAUUACUUCUGUUUUGGAUCUUGCGGAAAAAUCAUAAAUCCAUCAAAUUCAAUUAACUUUUGCUGUACUAAUUUUUUUCACACUUCCCAGCUUAUUUUGUAAGAUGAAUCACAUCAUCGAAAUUUCUCUUGAAUUUCGGAGCAUCAAAAUGUAUUAUUCAAGAAGCGGAAAUGCUAAGCGUUUAAGCGAAGUAAAUGGCAAUGCGCGUGGAGCCCACGCUCCACCGUAACAGCCAAUGUGGCUGUGCUCUGUUUUGCUGCCCCGUCCCCUCGAGUCUUUGACCAGCUUAACGCAGCACAUAUAUGAAUACAUAUGACCAUGAUAUCUAUAGACGGCACCGUUUAAGAGGGGGACACGUUUCCACACUUCAGUCGGACCUACUACGAUGCUAUAUCAGUUAAGUCGGUUGGCUCCUUAGAAGUUUAAAGAAGAUCGAAUGACGCUGAGUUGUUCAAACACGACGUUCCCAUGAUUAUUACAAAGCGCAUGCGGAUUUGCAAUUUUUUUUUUUUAUAUGUAUAUGUUAUUCAUAAUAAAAAAUUUGUUGAAAUUAUAUCAAAUUUAUUAUAAUAUAACUCAAAUUUUUACUUUCAUAAAUAUUGGAAGAUGUCUAUUUUACUUAUUAAAAAAAAAAAUCAACGAUUCAAAAGGUAAUAACUCACCACUCACCCAAAGACUGAGCUGCAGGAAUUGUAAAGUUCAUCUUUAAGUAAAUACUAUAUUACAUUUCAUGUAACAUAUACAACCCAACCACACAAUUAUGUGGGUCCUAUAUCUUUAAUGUGCAGUUCGCUAUUUCUAGGUCGGUUGUAGACUUCAUUGUCAAAUAUAAUAUAUUAAACGACAUCUGUUAUAUAAAGCUUAUGAAUUGGAAAAAUACUCAUUAGUCAUUCAUUAUUUAUUUCUCUACGUUUGGUUAGUGAUAUUAACUAACAUAAUAUCAAUGAAUCAUUUUGAUAAUCUUUGUGUUUUCAAAAAAUUCUUCAAAUUAAAAAUUGAAUUCUCAUUUGAAAAAUUGGAUCAACAAUAAGAAUUUUUAAAAUUCCCUUCAAAUAAAGAUUAUCCUUCUCUCUUAUUAAUAUUGAAAAGUGAUUGUUUUCUUUUCAAAUAAUACUAUAUUUUUUUAUAGUAUCACUAUUGCAAAGAUAGAAAUAAUAUAAUUAUAUUAUUUUAAAAAAAUAUAUAAUUUAGUGAGAGGAAUUUGAUUAAAAUAACAUAAAUUUAUUUUUAUUUGAAGAGUCUUUAAGAGUAUAUUUUUUCACGCUUCUAUUUAUCAUAUAUUUAAGUAAAUAAGUAUCUAAAAAGUAAUAUUAGAUGAGUUUUUUAGAGAUACUCUUAUUUUAUAGUAUUAUUUGGACAAGUGUAAUCUUAUUGUAAUUUUAAAUUUCGAUUGUUCAUCUUCAAUACUAAAUCAAGCCUUAACUUGUUCCCAUUGGAAAUUAACAUACUACUUAUAAGCAUAUAUAUUAAAUAAUAAUAAUAAUAAUAAUAAUAAUAAUAAUAAUAAUAAUAAUAAUAAUAAUAAUAAAUAAAUAAAUAAAUAAAUAAAUAAAAACUACAAGCGAUUGAACUCAAAAGAAAAAUCAAAUGAAUACUGAAAGAAUUAAGUAUUAUUAUGUCAUUAAUAGUACGAAAUAUUAAUCAAACAAAUAAAUAAUUCAAUACAUUAAUCUCCAAUCAUCCUCGAAAAUAAUAUCUUAGUAAUAAUUAUGAUUUUCUUCCGUUACCAAAAGACUUAGGUAGCGUUUGUUUUUUUGUCUGAAAGCUAAAUGAGUUUGAAUUUUUCUAAAGUCUGAAUGGGUUUGAAUAAGAAAAUUUGAAUGACAUGUUUGUUUUUCUUUUUUUAAUAUCUUAAUAUAAGUGGCAUCUUGUUUGUUUUUACAAUAAAAAACAUCUUAAACUUAGUUGUUUUCCAUUUAUGUUCUUGAAAAUUAAAACAAAAAAAGAGAAUUACAUUUUAUAAUUUAGGAAAUAAGUUAUUUUACAGAAAUAUUUUUGAAAUAUAAUAUUUACUUGUCAUUAAGAUAUUUUCUCAUUCAGAUAAAAAUCACAAAAAUUUACUUUUUCUAUUCAGAUGUAAAUGUCUGAAAAUCAGAUAUAAGUUCUAAAAAACAAACAAGUAAAUUUUAGAAAAUGUAUGAAAUUAAUAAAAUUUCAUAUUUUAGACAUUUAAUAAACCUCUUAGUGCUUCAGGAGAGCAAGAAGAGAAACAAAGAGUGAAGAUGCAAUAACAGCACCGGAAACCGGCAGAGAGGAGGCUGCUCCGGUGUCCGAUGAAGGAGCCGGUGCCGGCGCCAUCUCGGUGCUUUGAGCUGAAGCUGCAGCCAUUGCAAGAGCUGCCAAAACGAACAUCAUCAUAACGGACUUUAAGCUGCUAAUUUGCGCCAUCUAUAUUGAUAUUAAUUGCUGAAGAAAAACAAGAAGCAAGAACUAUAUAUGAAAAUAAAGAAUUGAUUCAGUAAGCAAGUUAUGGGCAAUGGCUCCGUUAAAUGUUAGGUGGUGCUUAUAAUUAUAUAGUGAGGUGUAUGCGCGGCUUGUGGAGCACGCUUUGAUCUGUGUGACAGCAAACGUGUUGUGUUUGGUUUGGUUUUCGCCGCAAAGCGUAUCUUGACAGACUCAGAUUGGUUGGAACUAAAAACAUGGGACCGAGUGGGAUCUGGAACACGUUGGCACGUGGUAGUUGG
RNAcentral lists this long non-coding RNA (4129 nucleotides) under Citrus x clementina. RNAcentral's name for it is "Citrus clementina (C. clementina) long non-coding RNA (CCLE_LNC000531)". Lineage: Eukaryota; Viridiplantae; Streptophyta; Magnoliopsida; Sapindales; Rutaceae. The record is from RNAcentral.